GCAAUAAGUAAAUUUGAAGAAAUAAUAUUUAUCAUGUUAGUCUUGCAAACUUUUGGCAUUCGAUGAUGCUUUUGAUCCUAGUGAAGGGUUCACAGAUUUAAAUGUAUCUACAAAUCUGCUGCACUAUCAAUAAAAAAAAGAUAUAGAGAAUAUAAAAAAAAACAAUCAAUUCAAAUGAAUAUAAGCACGCAUGAUUUGUCAUUGAAUUCUUGGUCAAGCGGUUACCCGUGUACAUUGAAAUAUAAUAAUCCUUGAUGAACAAUAAUAAUAUAUUUUACUUACUUUUUAUGACUUAUUGUCGGUCC
This 305-nucleotide long non-coding RNA is filed under the name Mytilus galloprovincialis (Mediterranean mussel). Lineage: Eukaryota; Metazoa; Mollusca; Bivalvia; Mytilida; Mytilidae. The record is from RNAcentral.